Cydia pomonella (codling moth) is the source of this 347-nucleotide long non-coding RNA. RefSeq lists it as uncharacterized. The record is from RefSeq and is a predicted model, not a curated record. The transcript has 2 exons. NCBI's taxonomy places the organism in Eukaryota, Metazoa, Arthropoda, Insecta, Lepidoptera, Tortricidae.
AAAACAUGAUUAAGAGGCUGUCAAUACCUAAAGCGCGCACACUGUCUAUUUGUAUCGGAGUAAAUGAGAUAGCACUGUCGCAUGUUACUGGGCCUGGGCAAGGGAAUAAUAAGAAAAAUAUUUAAAUAAAAAAAAUGGAUUAUUAGUGUAAUAUUUUACUCAACCACGGUUUAGAUAUAAAUGUUUUGAAAUUGUGAUUUUAAUUGCAGACCCAUAAGUCGAAACAAUAAAGACAUAAAACCGUUUAAUUGUGAUUUUAAGACCAAUCUUUGCAAUUAUUUUCUAUCGAGCCGAUUUCGUUCAAUCGUGUAUCGAGUACAACCACGGUCUUUGAAAUAUAAUUAAUA